This 1230-nucleotide long non-coding RNA is filed under the name Monodelphis domestica (gray short-tailed opossum). RNAcentral describes it as "lncRNA (ENSMODG00000049485.1)". The record is from RNAcentral. Lineage: Eukaryota; Metazoa; Chordata; Mammalia; Didelphimorphia; Didelphidae.
ACUAGCAGUCAAAAUUACUCCUUCAUAUUGCUAAUGUUUUGAAUUACAUGGGAGCAGGGAGGCAAGAGUGAUUAGCUGUUGGGGGUGAGCUCCAAAAAAAUUAAAUUCUGCAAGCCAAACCAAACCAAACUUUGUCUCUAAACCAUGCUGAUGAAAUUUGUACCACACCCAACUUCCAUAAGUUUAAGUCUAAGAAGAAUUCCUCCCAAACAAAACCUAUGUUUUACUGGCAUUUCUCUCAGCUCAAGGAAAGACAUUCAUGACCAUCCUGAUACACUCUGAGUUUCAGUGUUUUUUGCUCAUUCCUUACACUCUUAAGUAGACAACUCCCAGAAGUCUCCUUGCUCAUGAAUGGUCAGGGAAAUUUAUGUGCCAUUAUCUCCAGCAUAGUAAGAAAAAUGCUGAAACUACUGAGUAAAAAUGGAUUUGCAAAAAAACAUUUUCCCAUUCAAAGUCCCAAAUGAAAUGAUGGAGGUUGGAGAUACAUAUUAAUCCCCACCCUGAGUCAAACUGCACUUCUUCCAUGACAAUAAUUUUAGCAUCUGUUUUAUUGUAACAAUGGGUUUGACAGUGGCACUUGGCACUUAUUACACUCAGAUUGACAGACUCAACAGCAAUCCUAUUGGAAAUGAGCUAAUUUUAUAUAGUGGGAAGUGCUGCCAAUAUUACUUUUCACAGUCCAAGUGAUUUUUAGUUCAGAUGCUAAUAAAAAAAAAAUCAAUCCACCAGUAUAAAAAGCAAGGUCAAACAAGUAACUGGUCAAGUGUGGAUGAGCCAUUUAGAUGAGAAGGGUACAUUCUCAUUAUCUGAUUAUUUUGUCUACAGAAUCACAAGUAUCCAGACCGGGACUCAAUUGUUCACAGUUCAUUCAUCCUGAUCUAGGGAGUUGUAUUGUACAAGCCAUAGCCUUAAGCAGAUGCAAACCAACAUGAAGCCAUCUUCAUCUACUAAGAGCAUGUUAUUUCUACCUUUGGCCAAGAAACAAUAAUUGGUCUGUAAUGUCAAAAAAUGGAAGGGGGGAACCUGUUUGCAAGCAUUUAAGGAAAAUUCAAUGGAAGGAGAGACAGAAGCAAUAUCGUCAAGGAAUUAUACUAUAUACCACCUGGAACGAAAGAGGAAAUAUUCAACUGAAGUUAGGAAAUUAAUAAGAAAUGUGGAGGGAGAGAGGGGAAUUUCAUUUAUCUGAACAGCUAAAGGCAGAGAAACUAAUAAAUUCUUAGCUUCUUUUCA